GUGGAGCAUGUGGCUUAAUUUGACUCAACGCGGGAAAUCUUACCGGGUCCGGACACACUGAGGAUUGACAGAUAUACGCUGCGUUGCUCUCGAGCACGUGGCUCAAAGAUGCUAGUUCUUUCAUGAUUAUGUGAUAGGUGGUGCAUGGCCGUUCUUAGUUCGUGGAGUGAUCUGUCUGCUUAAUUGCGUAUCAAUAAUAGAGACCUAGUAUACGCGUAUUACUCAUGUGGUAGUGACCCCCUUCUCACGGAGGCGCGUGUCGCACAUAUGGUAUACGCACUGGUCUCAGAUAGCAACGAACGUGACCGUAUUCUAUUGUUGCAGUGAAUUAUACGUGUGCUUUAUGCAUACAUUCCCACUGCUUAGUGUGCGUAUCAGUACUUGUACUGUGCGUCACGCAUUAAACUAUAGAGACCGCUGUUUCUUCUUUAAACCAGAGGAAGGAUAC
RNAcentral lists this ribosomal RNA (448 nucleotides) under Ammonia sp. T3S. RNAcentral describes it as "SSU rRNA". It matches the Rfam family "Eukaryotic small subunit ribosomal RNA", at positions 1176 to 1448 of the family's 1831-position model. The record is from RNAcentral. Lineage: Eukaryota; Foraminifera; Rotaliida; Rotaliidae.